Long non-coding RNA from Homo sapiens (human), 508 nucleotides. RefSeq lists it as uncharacterized. NCBI's taxonomy places the organism in Eukaryota, Metazoa, Chordata, Mammalia, Primates, Hominidae. The record is from RefSeq and is a predicted model, not a curated record. The transcript has 5 exons.
UUUAAAGAAGUUGGAAGAGGUGAGAAACUCCAUCUGAUAAGAAAACAGAAUCUUUAAGAAGUGGACUUGCUGAUGGUCACAGGGCUAGCGAAAGCUUAUUUCUUUCUUUAGAGCUGCAACUACCUGAUUCCUUCACUGAGACAUGACCGUUUCCUGCUUUCUAAGUUCUUCCAUUUUCUGCCAUGAGUUGAAUAAUCCUGAGGACCUCGCUAGAUGCAGAUGCCCAAUUUUGAACUUUCCAGCUACCAGAAUUAAUAUUGGAUCAAGAGCAUACCUUGCCUUCCUUUCCCAGUUACUUCACUGUUAAUGUUCUUAUAACUCUCAGAAAGUCACACACAGAUUCUGUGAAGAAGGUAUAUAUAUUCAAGUGGAGGAAAUAGAACACACAUGCGAGAGAAUCACUUUCUGAGAGAGCUGAAGACUAUUUGAUGGACCACCAUAAAUUUCAUCAAAGGAAACAGAGCAGAGAAUUGACCAAUAACAAACAGCUGGAAAUGAAAGAACUGUG